GACGAACGCUGUGUGGCGUGCUUAACACAUGCAAGUCGAACGGAAAGGCCCUGCUUUUGUGGGGUGCUCGAGUGGCGAACGGGUGAGUAACACGUGAGUAACCUGCCCUUGACUUUGGGAUAACUUCAGGAAACUGGGGCUAAUACCGGAUAGGAGCUCCUGCUGCAUGGUGGGGGUUGGAAAGUUUCGGCGGUUGGGGAUGGACUCGCGGCUUAUCAGCUUGUUGGUGGGGUAGUGGCUUACCAAGGCUUUGACGGGUAGCCGGCCUGAGAGGGUGACCGGCCACAUUGGGACUGAGAUACGGCCCAGACUCCUACGGGAGGCAGCAGUGGGGAAUAUUGCACAAUGGGCGGAAGCCUGAUGCAGCAACGCCGCGUGCGGGAUGACGGCCUUCGGGUUGUAAACCGCUUUCGCCUGUGACGAAGCGUGAGUGACGGUAAUGGGUAAAGAAGCACCGGCUAACUACGUGCCAGCAGCCGCGGUGAUACGUAGGGUGCGAGCGUUGUCCGGAUUUAUUGGGCGUAAAGGGCUCGUAGGUGGUUGAUCGCGUCGGAAGUGUAAUCUUGGGGCUUAACCCUGAGCGUGCUUUCGAUACGGGUUGACUUGAGGAAGGUAGGGGAGAAUGGAAUUCCUGGUGGAGCGGUGGAAUGCGCAGAUAUCAGGAGGAACACCAGUGGCGAAGGCGGUUCUCUGGGCCUUUCCUGACGCUGAGGAGCGAAAGCGUGGGGAGCGAACAGGCUUAGAUACCCUGGUAGUCCACGCUGUAAACGGUGGGUACUAGGUGUGGGGUCCAUUCCACGGGUUCCGUGCCGUAGCUAACGCUUUAAGUACCCCGCCUGGGGAGUACGGCCGCAAGGCUAAGACUCAAAGGAAUUGACGGGGCCCCGCACAAGCGGCGGAGCAUGCGGAUUAAUUCGAUGCAACGCGUAGAACCUUACCUGGGUUUGACAUGGAUCGGGAGUGCUCAGAGAUGGGUGUGCCUCUUUUGGGGUCGGUUCACAGGUGGUGCAUGGCUGUCGUCAGCUCGUGUCGUGAGAUGUUGGGUUAAGUCCCGCAACGAGCGCAACCCUUGUUCACUGUUGCCAGCACGUUAUGGUGGGGACUCAGUGGAGACCGCCGGGGUCAACUCGGAGGAAGGUGGGGAUGACGUCAAGUCAUCAUGCCCCUUAUGUCCAGGGCUUCACGCAUGCUACAAUGGCUGGUACAGAGAGUGGCGAGCCUGUGAGGGUGAGCGAAUCUCGGAAAGCCGGUCUCAGUUCGGAUUGGGGUCUGCAACUCGACCUCAUGAAGUCGGAGUCGCUAGUAAUCGCAGAUCAGCAACGCUGCGGUGAAUACGUUCCCGGGGCU
Molecule: ribosomal RNA, 1347 nt
Filed under: uncultured bacterium
Lineage: Bacteria
Description: partial 16S ribosomal RNA
Rfam family: Bacterial small subunit ribosomal RNA
Source: RNAcentral